Molecule: ribosomal RNA, 546 nt
Filed under: uncultured alveolate
Lineage: Eukaryota
Description: SSU rRNA
Rfam family: Eukaryotic small subunit ribosomal RNA
Source: RNAcentral
GCGUAUAUUAAAGUUGUUGCGGUAAAAAAGCUCGUAGUUGGAUUUCUGUUGAGGGCGUCCGGUCCGUACCACGUACGCGUAUCUGGGUCGCGCUCGGCAUCCUCUCGAAGAACGGUUCUCGCGCUUGAUUGCGUGGUCCGGGUUUCGGGACUUUUACUUUGAGGAAAUUAGAGUGUUCACGGCAGGCAAUUGCCCGGAUACAUUAGCAUGGGAUAAUACUAUAGGAUUUUGGUUCUAUUUUGUUGGUUUCUAGGACUAAAAUAAUGAUUAAUAGGGACAAUUGGGGGCAUUCGUAUCAACACGCUAGAGGUGAAAUUCUUGGAUUGUGUUGCGACGAACUACUGCGAAAGCAUUUGCCAAGGAUGUUUUCAUUGAUCAAGAACAAAAGUAAGGGGAUCGAAGAUGAUUAGAUACCGUCGUAGUCUUUACCACAAACUAUGCCAACUAGAGAUGGGGCAUCGUUCAAUACGACUUGCUCCGCACCUUAUGAGAUAUCAAAGUCUUUGGGUUCCGGGGGGAGUAUGGUCGCAAGUCUGGAACUUAAAG